AUCCGGAGGGUGCAAGCGUUACUCGGAAUCACUGGGCGUAAAGCGCGCGCAGGCGGCUUGAUAAGUUGGAUGUGAAAGCCUACGGCUCAACCGUAGAACUGCAUCCAAAACUGUCAGGCUAGAGUGUGGGAGAGGAAGAUGGAAUUAGUUGUGUAGGGGUAAAAUCCGUAGAGAUAACUAGGAAUACCAAAAGCGAAGGCAAUCUUCUGGAACACUACUGACGCUGAGGCGCGAAGGCGUGGGGAGCAAACAGGAUUAGAAACCCUAGUAGUCC
RNAcentral lists this ribosomal RNA (274 nucleotides) under uncultured bacterium. RNAcentral describes it as "partial 16S ribosomal RNA". It matches the Rfam family "Bacterial small subunit ribosomal RNA", at positions 523 to 796 of the family's 1533-position model. The record is from RNAcentral.